RNAcentral lists this ribosomal RNA (739 nucleotides) under uncultured Pseudomonas sp. Its description in RNAcentral is "bacterial SSU rRNA". It matches the Rfam family "Bacterial small subunit ribosomal RNA", at positions 15 to 749 of the family's 1533-position model. Lineage: Bacteria; Pseudomonadati; Pseudomonadota; Gammaproteobacteria; Pseudomonadales; Pseudomonadaceae. The record is from RNAcentral.
GAUCAUGGCUCAGAUCGAACGCUGGCGGCAGGCCUAACACAUGCAAGUCGAGCGGCAGCGGGUCCUUCGGGAUGCCGGCGAGCGGCGGACGGGUGAGUAAUGCCUAGGAAUCUGCCUGAUAGUGGGGGAUGACGUUCGGAAACGGACGCUAAUACCGCAUACGUCCUACGGGAGAAAGCGGGGGAUCUUCGGACCUCGCGCUAUCAGAUGAGCCUAGGUCGGAUUAGCUAGUUGGUGAGGUAAUGGCUCACCAAGGCGACGAUCCGUAACUGGUCUGAGAGGAUGAUCAGUCACACUGGAACUGAGACACGGUCCAGACUCCUACGGGAGGCAGCAGUGGGGAAUAUUGGACAAUGGGCGAAAGCCUGAUCCAGCCAUGCCGCGUGUGUGAAGAAGGUCUUCGGAUUGUAAAGCACUUUAAGUUGGGAGGAAGGGCAGUAAGCUAAUAUCUUGCUGUUUUGACGUUACCAACAGAAUAAGCACCGGCUAACUUCGUGCCAGCAGCCGCGGUAAUACGAAGGGUGCAAGCGUUAAUCGGAAUUACUGGGCGUAAAGCGCGCGUAGGUGGUUCAGCAAGUUGGAUGUGAAAGCCCCGGGCUCAACCUGGGAACUGCAUCCAAAACUACUGAGCUAGAGUACGGUAGAGGGUGGUGGAAUUUCCUGUGUAGCGGUGAAAUGCGUAGAUAUAGGAAGGAACACCAGUGGCGAACGCGACCACCUGGACUGAUACUGACACUGA